RNAcentral lists this long non-coding RNA (1005 nucleotides) under Fragaria vesca (wild strawberry). RNAcentral's name for it is "long non-coding RNA (FVES_LNC005314)". The record is from RNAcentral. Lineage: Eukaryota; Viridiplantae; Streptophyta; Magnoliopsida; Rosales; Rosaceae.
GCAACCAAGCGGAGUGAAUCUAUAACAACAGGAAGCGGAGCUAAGGCAAGCAAUCAAGCUGCCGGAGAAGCCGAUGCCCUACCUGUAGCAGCCGAUGGUGACCUUUUCCCGGGGGAUACUCUUCUUCAAGUAAUGAAAAAACACGGGGUUUCGUCGAGAAGGGCUUAAAGGAAGCGCCCUAUUCUCCAAAGCAGCGAUGGGGCAAAGUCUAUAGGAUUCCCCUUCAGACCCAGCGCAAUAAGAUUCCUUCGAAACUGCUUACCGGUUUCUUUCUCGCUUAGCUGCAUAUCAAGUAAACUCCUUGCCCGCAGACGAGUCUAAAGACGAUGAAAAUAAUACCCUUGAAACCGCUUUUAUCACAUAUGAUAAGGAACCACUAGGCACAAGGAAAGAUUGGCUUUAAAGCCUCAGAAUGAGUCUGUGAGCCGAUGUGAUGAGUGAAAGGCGAAGGAACUCGACUGAUACUAAGAGGAAACGGAGCUGUGCCCGAUUUAGGAUAGGGUUAUACGGAAAUAAGGAGAGACGGCAAAUAAGAGCAGCCCGCGGUUAAUCCUUUAUUGCGCUUGGUUAACGACAUAGGGACUAAGAAGAGCUCGACCGUUAGGGAGAGGGGCCGAAGGUUCUGAAAGAAUCGAAAAUAAGACCUUUUAAGACACGCGAAACCCACUCGAUAGGGAAACAUACGUGAGGAAAGCAGAGAUAGGGUUUUAAGUAUCUUCGUUCGCCUUACAAUCAAUGGUAGUGAAUGAAUACCCCUUGCUAAGUGUAACAGCCCACUCCUUUGCUUCGUCGAGCUCCUGAACUGAACCCCUUCACGCUCAUGUCACGUCGAGGAAGAAUCUGAUUCACUCCGGGAUAUGGGGGCACCGAAGCAGAAGCAGAGCAGAACUCCCUUGCUAUGAGCCAUAGAGGCACUUCAAGUGAAGAAUCGACCGGAGCAGGACUAAUCUUGUUGUUGUUAACUUCUGCACCAGUGUUGAAGAACAGGGGGAUUCCCGGUUCAAU